UGGACCAAACCCGUUGUGGCUUUGGAAGGACACAAUGUGUCUGUGGAAGGACAGAGCUCCUGAUAAACUUCUCCAGGUAAUAAGCACUUUGUUGCUGGUGUUUUAUCAUUACGUCUCCUGGAAGGCUUGUUGAGAAAAUCCAUUUGCAGAGUCAGCAGAGACCUCAGUAGAACAACUGCCUUGCCAGAGUCCGCAAGAACACCCCUAACCUACCUCAGGAAGCAGAUCCUCUGGAGGCCCUGUGCAGCAUAGGACAAUACAGAGAAGCCCUGAAAUAUGGAUGUUUGUUUAACAAGGAUUUUGGCUGAGGUUUACAGCAAUUGUAGCUCAUUCUGG
This is a long non-coding RNA of Nothoprocta perdicaria, 336 nucleotides long. RefSeq lists it as uncharacterized. The transcript is spliced from 4 exons. NCBI's taxonomy places the organism in Eukaryota, Metazoa, Chordata, Aves, Tinamiformes, Tinamidae. The record is from RefSeq and is a predicted model, not a curated record.